Molecule: transfer RNA, 72 nt
Filed under: Candidatus Iainarchaeum sp.
Lineage: Archaea; Nanobdellati; Candidatus Iainarchaeota; Candidatus Iainarchaeia; Candidatus Iainarchaeales; Candidatus Iainarchaeaceae
Description: tRNA-Ala
Rfam family: tRNA
About the family: Transfer RNA (tRNA) molecules are approximately 80 nucleotides in length. Their secondary structure includes four short double-helical elements and three loops (D, anti-codon, and T loops). Further hydrogen bonds mediate the characteristic L-shaped molecular structure. tRNAs have two regions of fundamental functional importance: the anti-codon, which is responsible for specific mRNA codon recognition, and the 3' end, to which the tRNAs corresponding amino acid is attached (by aminoacyl-tRNA synthetases). tRNAs cope with the degeneracy of the genetic code in two manners: having more than one tRNA (with a specific anti-codon) for a particular amino acid; and 'wobble' base-pairing, i.e. permitting non-standard base-pairing at the 3rd anti-codon position.
Source: RNAcentral
GGGCAAGUAGCGCAACGGUAGCGCGUCCGCUUCGCAUGCGGGAGGCUGGGGGUUCGAAUCCCCCCUUGUCCA